RNAcentral lists this ribosomal RNA (650 nucleotides) under Halomonas sp. OFEM13. RNAcentral's name for it is "bacterial SSU rRNA". It matches the Rfam family "Bacterial small subunit ribosomal RNA", at positions 79 to 726 of the family's 1533-position model. The record is from RNAcentral. Lineage: Bacteria; Pseudomonadati; Pseudomonadota; Gammaproteobacteria; Oceanospirillales; Halomonadaceae.
GCUAGGAGGCGUCGAGCGGCGGACGGGUGAGUAAUGCAUAGGAAUCUGCCCGAUAGUGGGGGAUAACCUGGGGAAACUCAGGCUAAUACCGCAUACGUCCUACGGGAGAAAGCGGGGGCUCUUCGGACCUCGCGCUAUCGGAUGAGCCUAUGCCGGAUUAGCUAGUUGGUAGGGUAACGGCCUACCAAGGCGACGAUCCGUAGCUGGUCUGAGAGGAUGAUCAGCCACACUGGGACUGAGACACGGCCCAGACUCCUACGGGAGGCAGCAGUGGGGAAUAUUGGACAAUGGGCGAAAGCCUGAUCCAGCCAUGCCGCGUGUGUGAAGAAGGCCUUCGGGUUGUAAAGCACUUUCAGCGAGGAAGAAGGCCUGGUGGCCAAUACCCGCCAGGAGCGACAUCACUCGCAGAAGAAGCACCGGCUAACUCCGUGCCAGCAGCCGCGGUAAUACGGAGGGUGCGAGCGUUAAUCGGAAUUACUGGGCGUAAAGCGCGCGUAGGUGGCUUGAUAAGCCGGUUGUGAAAGCCCCGGGCUCAACCUGGGAACGGCAUCCGGAACUGUUAGGCUAGAGUGCAGGAGAGGAAGGUAGAAUUCCCGGUGUAGCGGUGAAAUGCGUAGAGAUCGGGAGGAAUACCAGUGGCGAAGGCGGCC